GCAUCCAUGGCUGAAUGGUGAAAGCGCCCACCAAAUGGGUCAAAAAGUAGGUUCGAUUCCUGCCGGAUGCA
This 71-nucleotide transfer RNA is filed under the name Triticum aestivum (bread wheat). Its description in RNAcentral is "tRNA-Leu". It matches the Rfam family "tRNA". Rfam says of the family: Transfer RNA (tRNA) molecules are approximately 80 nucleotides in length. Lineage: Eukaryota; Viridiplantae; Streptophyta; Magnoliopsida; Poales; Poaceae. RNAcentral also lists the same sequence under 5 other names. The record is from RNAcentral.